RNAcentral lists this unclassified non-coding RNA (1187 nucleotides) under Portunus trituberculatus (swimming crab). RNAcentral describes it as "uncharacterized LOC123511223, transcript variant X1". The record is from RNAcentral. Lineage: Eukaryota; Metazoa; Arthropoda; Malacostraca; Decapoda; Portunidae.
GUAGCGGGCGGGCGUCGGGCGGCAGGCAAGGCAAGGCAGUGUGCGGUGGGCGGGAGGGGGAAGAAGACGUGUGUGGCAUUGCUCGCAACACCUAGCAUCAUCGUGCCACGCUGGCCUCGCUCUACCCUUGCAGCCACCAGCCAGCCGCACUGAGAACCAGCCAGCCAGUCAGACACCCCGGACAGGAAGUCAGUCAGCGAGGCAGUCACCGUGUCAGCGAGUCCAUCAGCCGGUCACUCGGUCAUUCAAUCAAGCAGUGACACGACCUGGUCCCGCCCGCGCCAUUCGGACAGUCAGUCAAUUAGUCACUAAGUCAGUCAGUCAGUCAGUCAGUGUUGCCUUGGAAGUGUGAGAGCGGUGAGAGGGGAAAGCGAUCUCUCUCUCUCCCACGGGCCUAGUCGCAUCAUUGCCCGUGACACCCUCUCCUGUGUGUUAUCUCAGUGAUCCGAGAGGGGCUGGAGGUGAGAGGGUAGUGUGGUGGAGGGGCGUGAUUAGAAGUGUGUAAAGAGAACAAGCAAGCAAGCAAAGGGUGUGCGUGUGUGUUAAUUGCCCUUGGUGGUGGUAGUGGUGGUAGUAGUAGUAGUGGUGGUGAAAGAAGAGGAGGAGAAGGAGGAGGAAGAGUCAUGUGUACGUGUUUGUGUGUAAAGGAGGUGGUGAAAGUUAAGAAAAGAUAAUGAAAGAGAUAGUGAAAAGAUCGAGCAUUUCGUUCCCUGGUAAGUAGCGCCAUUGCCACCUCCACCCUUGUCCUCCAGAGCUCAUUGUGUAACGCAGUGCAGGACUGUUGCAAAAAUCAAGUUAAAAAGUUUGAAAAUAAGACUGAGGCAGCAGCAGAAGGGAGGGAGGGAAAGAGAGAGAAAGAGAUGGAGGGAGCGAGGUCGGGUGUGGAAAAAAUAGUGAGGCUAUGCACGUGUCGCUAAUUAAGGAUAAUUAGAAAAGACGUAAAGUGCUUUUGAAAAAAUAAAUGAAUAAAAGUUUUGAGCUUCACCUAGUACGCUUUAAGAUUUAUAGAGGAAAGAAAAAUAAAGGCUGGUACACACGUCGCUAAACAGACCGUUGUGCUGUUUCUGAAUUUGUUGACUCCACGGGAGGCGGUGAAAAAUAACAGCAGAAGAAAGGAAAAGAAAAGUGAGAGGGAAAAAGGAAAUAAAAAAAAGAAAACAAUUGGUUGAAAAAAAAAUGAUAGGACA